Molecule: ribosomal RNA, 635 nt
Filed under: Lecidella asema var. elaeochromoides
Lineage: Eukaryota; Fungi; Ascomycota; Lecanoromycetes; Lecanorales; Lecanoraceae
Description: SSU rRNA
Rfam family: Bacterial small subunit ribosomal RNA
Source: RNAcentral
AUUCUAGGUAGAAUUAUGAUAAUGACAUUAUCUGCCUACAUGUCUUGACCAAAUUACGUGCCAGCAGUCGCGGUAAUACGUAGAAGACUAGUGUUAUUCAUCUUUAAUAGGUUUAAAGGGUACCUAGACGGUAAAUCAAGCCUGCGAGGGGACUAGUUUACUAGAGUUACUUGUGAGGGGGUAUUAAAGUACUAAUGGUGUAGAGAUGAAAUUCUGUCAUACCUCUUUUCGGAAGAAAAACUAUGGCACAGGUAUAGGCGAAAGCAUCCCCUUAUGUGAUAACUGACGUUGAAGGACGAAGGCUUUGUGUCGCGAACAGGAUUAGAUACCCCAGUAGUCAAAGCAGAAAAUGAUGAAUGUCAUAGACUAGGCGUAUAAUAGCUUAUUCUAUAGGUGAAAGUGUAAGCAUUCCACCUCAAGAGUAAUUUGGCAACAUUGGAACUGAAAUCAUUAGACCGUUUCUGAAACCAGUAGUGAAGUAUGUUGUUUAAUUUGAUAACCCGCAAAAAACCUUACCACAACUUGAAUAUUUAUGUUUAUAUUUUAUGAUUUUUUUUAUAAAAAUAAAAUAUAUUUACAAGCGUUGCACGGCUGUCUUCAGUUAAUGUCGUGAGAUUUUGGUUAGUUCCAUUAAA